AUGAACAGGACACCGGUAGAGAUUUUGGGGACUAGAUACCCCCUAAGUAAAAAAGAAAUAAUAAAAACGUCUAUAAAAUGGGAAAAACGCACCAGAAAAUUAAACACCAAAUGGCCCGCGGUGGGAACGUUGGAUGUCUCUGUGUGUGAGGAAAUGGAAACACUGAUAAAAAACUAUAAACCCGAGGACAAGAAACAAAAAAGGACGAAUAAACGAGAAAGAGAAAACGAAAUACUAAAAAUGUUUCAGGAAGAAAGAGCGGCUUUGUUACAAAGCAUGAAGACGGCAAGAGAAGAACUAAAGAAGAACGAUAACACAAGCAAAGAGAAAACGGAGUCGGGGGGACCAGCCCCCCCGCCGUAUUCCAAUGGACAGUUUCCCAUGAUAACUGGACACAUGGAAAUUAAAGGGGUAGUGGUGGUGACAGAAGAAAGGGAAGGGAUCACCUCACCUGGAGCAAUGUGUGCACCUUCACAUUCAACAGAAAGAGGCAAGGAAAUAACUCCGAAGCCUAUAGGAACGAAAGAAGAAGGUUUGAAUCGCUAUAGUGGCCUGAGGAAAGCCCUAACAGCAAUGGAAACAGAAAUAGGAGAAAGGGAGACGUCAGAGCUGCAAACAAGAAGAGCGAAAGACCAAACGGAGGGGAACUCCAGGAAAAGCCAAAACACACUAGCAGAACGGGCAUCGGGUAAUAGUCCGAGCGAGGAAGAGGAGGAAGAGGAAGAGGAUGAUACAUCCUGUAGGGGACAAAUAGUGGCACAAAGAAUAGAAGAGAAACUGGGACGGUCAAAAUCAACACACGGAGAAAACGUAAGAUUGCAAGAAAGACAGGAUGAGGCCUUGGCCCGUAGUAUGAAUGAGAGCCUGAGAAAUGAGCCUGCAGGGAAAUAUUGCAGGGCUCGUAGGGAAGGGUCUAGGAAAGAAUCGGGUUAUUAUGAAAAACAGCGGCAGAUCCUGAUAAAAGGAGAGCAAGGACACUAUAUACCAUGGGCUGCACAGGGCAUGGAGGGGUUGGUUUUCCGCUUGCCAGAUCUCCAUGAGGGAGCAGGGAAGUGGAUCAGAACCUUUGAAGAAUACACCAUGGGGAAAUUGCUGGCGGUGGGUGACAUAAAGGCAUUGCUAGCGAGGGUGACGAGCGUGCAGAAAAUGAGAGAAAUCAUGCAGGAUGGUGCGAUCAACGGCACAGAUUGGGAGGUGACGAAGGAUGGACUGAUGUUCGACAGGUAUAGACCUGCCGUCUGGCGUGCAUUAAGGGCAGCAUACCCAACGAAGUUUGACCUCAACGCUCUGAGAGGUGAAGCUAUUGGAGCUACAGAAAACCCGGCCACGUACUUACAUGGACAUUUGGAAAGAUGGAGAAUGGAAACACAACAAGAUCCAGAAGGAAAUGAACUAUUGACAGCAAUGUUCCGAACUUCUGUGAUGGAAGCCAUGCCCCAGCCGGUAAGGAGCCGACUGGAGGAUGUGGUGGGGCUUACUUCAAAACCUUACAAAGAGUUCUGUGACUAUGUGAUUCAUGCCGUGGAAAAACACAGGAAGGACGAACAGAGACAGAUUGAACAAGGAAAAGACAUUCAGAGAAGGCUGGCCCAGUUGCAGUUGGAUGAAGUAACCAACAAAGGAAAGAAGAAAGUCCAUGCCUCAGUAACCACCCCUGUGCCCGAGAUAGGAACAAUGUCUGCCGUUUCCCCAGGAGGGCCGCAACCGUCAACCCCCAGGCGGGCCCAAAUGCCUACCUUACUGCUAGUAGUAAAUGUAUACACACAGCCCCCUAAUUGGAAUGGUGGAAAUAAACAACAGAAAAAUACCCAGGCAGAUCAGAGAAAGGGACCCAGGAACCUUAGGGGGGCACCUGGUGUCUGUUGGGGUUGCCACCAAUCAGGACACUCCAGACGAGAAUGCCCUACGAACCCCUGGCAGGAUCGGACUGGAGGAAACACAAAUAACAGGCGACCACCAACAAACAACAAUCCAGGUGGCUGGCAGCCGCAUACAAACGGGAACCGGAGCGGUUGGAGCCCAAAUGGUGGAUGGCCGGGCAACCAAAGCCAACCUUCGGGCCCUGUGAACCCAUGGUCAGGGCCUAACCAAACAUACUAG
Molecule: long non-coding RNA, 2100 nt
Filed under: Salmo trutta (river trout)
Lineage: Eukaryota; Metazoa; Chordata; Actinopteri; Salmoniformes; Salmonidae
Description: lncRNA (ENSSTUG00000031128.1)
Source: RNAcentral